AUAGCCAUGCAUGUCUCAGUACAUGCCGAAUUAAGGUGAAACCGCGAAUGGCUCAUUAAAUCAGUUAUGGUUCAUUAGAUCGUGGACACAUUUACUUGGAUAACUGUGGUAAUUCUAGAGCUAAUACAUGCAAACAGAAUUCCUCUCAGAGAUGGGAGGAAUGCUUUUAUUAGAUCAAAACCAAUCGGUGGCGGACGGCUCGUCCGUUCGUCCAUCGUUUGUUUUGGUGACUCUGAAUAACUUUGUGCUGAUCGCAUGGUCAUCUAGCACCGGCGACGCAUCUUUCAAAUGUCUGCCUUAUCAACUGUCGAUGGUAGGUUCUGCGCCUACCAUGGUUGUAACGGGUAACGGGGAAUCAGGGUUCGAUUCCGGAGAGGGAGCCUGAGAAACAGCUACCACAUCCAAGGAAGGCAGCAGGCGCGCAAAUUACCCACUCCCGGCACGGGGAGGUAGUGACGAAAAAUAACGAUACGGGACUCAUCCGAGGCCCCGUAAUCGGAAUGAGUACACUUUAAAUCCUUUAACGAGGACCAAUUGGAGGGCAAGUCUGGUGCCAGCAGCCGCGGUAAUUCCAGCUCCAAUAGCGUAUAUUAAAGUUGUUGCGGUUAAAAAGCUCGUAGUUGAAUCUGUGUGUCACAGUGUCGGUUCACCGCUCGCGGUGUUUAACUGGCAUUAUGUGGUACGUCCUAUCGGUGGGCUUAGCUCCUUGCGGGCGGUCCAACUAAUAUCCCAUCGCGGUGCUCUUCACUGAGUGUCGAGGUGGGCCGAUACGUUUACUUUGAAAAAAUUAGAGUGCUUAAAGCAGGCUACCUUUGCCUGAAUACUGUGUGCAUGGAAUAAUGGAAUAGGACCUCGGUUCUAUUUUGUUGGUUUUCGGAACCCCGAGGUAAUGAUUAAUAGGGACAGAUGGGGGCAUUCGUAUUGCGACGUUAGAGGUGAAAUUCUUGGAUCGUCGCAAGACGGACAGAAGCGAAAGCAUUUGCCAAAAAUGUUUUCAUUAAUCAAGAACGAAAGUUAGAGGU
RNAcentral lists this ribosomal RNA (1022 nucleotides) under Apis mellifera (honey bee). Its description in RNAcentral is "SSU rRNA". It matches the Rfam family "Eukaryotic small subunit ribosomal RNA", at positions 45 to 997 of the family's 1831-position model. Lineage: Eukaryota; Metazoa; Arthropoda; Insecta; Hymenoptera; Apidae. The record is from RNAcentral.